UAACAGUCGAACGAACCUUCGGUUAGGUUACCGGACGGGUGAGUACGCAAUCUGCCCUCAGUGAGGGGGACAACAGCUGGAAACGGCUGCUAAUACCCCUUAUGCCGCGAGGUGAAAUGAAUUUCGCCUGAGUGAUGAGCUCGCGUCUGAUUAGCUAGUUGGUGUAGGUAAUGGCUCACCAAGGCAUCGAUCAGUAGCUGGUCUGAGAGGAUGAUCAGCCACACUGGGACUGAGACACGGCCCAGACUCCUACGGGAGGCAGCAGUGGGGAAUUUUCCGCAAUGGGCGAAAGCCUGACGGAGCAACGCCGCGUGAGGGAUGAAGUGCCUCUGGGCUGUAAACCUCUUUUAUCAAGGAAGAAGAUCUGACGGUACUUGAUGAAUAAGCCACGGCUAAUUCCGUGCCAGCAGCCGCGGUAAUACGGGAGUGGCAAGCGUUAUCCGGAAUUAUUGGGCGUAAAAGCGUCCGCAGGCGGCCCUUCAAAGUCUGCUGUUAACAAAGUGGAGCUUAACUCCAUCAUGGCAGUGGACACACUUGUUGGGCUUGAAGUGUGGUACGGGGCAGAGGGGAAUUUCCCCGGGGUGGUUAUCCCGGCGUGAAAAUGCGUUAAGAUAUUACGGGAACCACACCACCCAGUUGGGCGAAAGGCGCAUCUGACUUGGGGCCAUCAACUUGGAACGGCUCCUUAGGAACGAAAAAGCACAGUGCCAACGAAAAGUGCAUAGAUACCACCAGUAAUCCAGACCGUAACAAUACACUAGGUCUCAGGGAAAUCAAACACCUACG
This 786-nucleotide ribosomal RNA is filed under the name uncultured Synechococcus sp. Its description in RNAcentral is "bacterial SSU rRNA". The stretch from base 1 to 688 matches the Rfam family "Bacterial small subunit ribosomal RNA". The record is from RNAcentral. Lineage: Bacteria; Bacillati; Cyanobacteriota; Cyanophyceae; Synechococcales; Synechococcaceae.